GUAUAUAUACAGGGAGAUGGAGAGAGUCCGUUACUAUACUAUUGAUAGCUCCAAGUUUUUGAUAUUAUCGAAUUUUCUGUCAUUAAAUCUAUCUUUUAAUUAAUUAUUCUACUCGUUAAAUUAUAUUAUUCAAUCAACCACCCACUCAACCUUAAAAAACUAUUAUCAUCCUAACCGUACAUUGUUUCAUUCAACUGUCGAAAACUCGAUAGUACUAAGUGUUUAGUACUAUUGGUAGUAUAGUAACUUAAUUAUAUAUAUAUAGAUAUAAAAUUGAGAUAGAAUACUAUUAAUAAUAUUUGGACUUUUUUACUAUCAAAUUUUUAAUCCAAUAGAUGAAAAAUUAUAAAGUUAGAAUGAUAACGAUUUUUCUCGGAUUGAAUGGAUGGUUGGUUGAAUAGUAUGAUCUAAAGAAUAAAAUUAAUUAAAAUAUAGAUCUAACGGCUAAAAUAUUAAUUAAAAAAAAUCUAAAUACUAUUAAUAAUAUUUCAGCUCAACUCUUUUUCUCUUUCUAUAUAUAUAUAUAUAUAUAUAUAUA
Molecule: long non-coding RNA, 538 nt
Filed under: Ananas comosus (pineapple)
Lineage: Eukaryota; Viridiplantae; Streptophyta; Magnoliopsida; Poales; Bromeliaceae
Description: long non-coding RNA (ACOM_LNC019084)
Source: RNAcentral